GAUGUUAGCGGCGGACGGGUGAGUAACACGUGGGUAACCUGCCUGUAAGACUGGGAUAACUCCGGGAAACCGGGGCUAAUACCGGAUGGUUGUUUGAACCGCAUGGUUCAAACAUAAAAGGUGGCUUCGGCUACCACUUACAGAUGGACCCGCGGCGCAUUAGCUAGUUGGUGAGGUAACGGCUCACCAAGGCAACGAUGCGUAGCCGACCUGAGAGGGUGAUCGGCCACACUGGGACUGAGACACGGCCCAGACUCCUACGGGAGGCAGCAGUAGGGAAUCUUCCGCAAUGGACGAAAGUCUGACGGAGCAACGCCGCGUGAGUGAUGAAGGUUUUCGGAUCGUAAAGCUCUGUUGUUAGGGAAGAACAAGUACCGUUCGAAUAGGGCGGUACCUUGACGGUACCUAACCAGAAAGCCACGGCUAACUACGUGCCAGCAGCCGCGGUAAUACGUAGGUGGCAAGCGUUGUCCGGAAUUAUUGGGCGUAAAGGGCUCGCAGGCGGUUUCUUAAGUCUGAUGUGAAAGCCCCCGGCUCAACCGGGGAGGGUCAUUGGAAACUGGGGAACUUGAGUGCAGAAGAGGAGAGUGGAAUUCCACGUGUAGCGGUGAAAUGCGUAGAGAUGUGGAGGAACACCAGUGGCGAAGGCGACUCUCUGGUCUGUAACUGACGCUGAGGAGCGAAAGCGUGGGGAGCGAACAGGAUUAGAUACCCUGGUAGUCCACGCCGUAAACGAUGAGUGCUAAGUG
RNAcentral lists this ribosomal RNA (749 nucleotides) under Bacillus sp. (in: firmicutes). Its description in RNAcentral is "bacterial SSU rRNA". It matches the Rfam family "Bacterial small subunit ribosomal RNA", at positions 88 to 822 of the family's 1533-position model. Lineage: Bacteria; Bacillati; Bacillota; Bacilli; Caryophanales; Bacillaceae. The record is from RNAcentral.